This 452-nucleotide ribosomal RNA is filed under the name uncultured bacterium. Its description in RNAcentral is "partial 16S ribosomal RNA". It matches the Rfam family "Bacterial small subunit ribosomal RNA", at positions 28 to 507 of the family's 1533-position model. The record is from RNAcentral.
GAUGAACGCUGGUGGCGUGCCUAACACAUGCCAGUCGAGCGAUUCUCUUCGGAGAAGAGCGGCGGACGGGUGAGUAACGCGUGGGUAACCUGCCCUGUACACACGGAUAACAUACCGAAAGGUAUGCUAAUACGAGAUAACAUGCUUUUAUCGCAUGGUAGAAGUAUCAAAGCUUUUGCGGUACAGGAUGGACCCGCGUCUGAUUAGCUAGUUGGUGAGGUAACGGCUCACCAAGGCGACGAUCAGUAGCCGACCUGAGAGGGUGAUCGGCCACAUUGGAACUGAGACACGGUCCAAACUCCUACGGGAGGCAGCAGUGGGGAAUAUUGCACAAUGGGCGAAAGCCUGAUGCAGCAACGCCGCGUGAGCGAUGAAGGCCUUCGGGUCGUAAAGCUCUGUCCUCAAGGAAGAUAAUGACGGUACUUGAGGAGGAAGCCCCGGCUAACUACGUG